GCAAGUCGAGGGGUAACAGGAUGGAGCUUGCUUCCUUUCUGACGACCGGCGCACGGGUUCCUAACGGGUAUACAAUCUACCUCAUACUGGGGAAUAGCCCGGAGAAAUUCGGAUUAAUGCCCCAUAAUAUAUUUGAUUCGCAUGUUUUAAAUAUUAAAGAUUUAUCGGUAUGAGAUGAGUAUGCUUCCCAUUAGCUAGUUGGUAAGGUAAUGGCUUACCAAGGCUACGAUGGGUAGGGGGCCUGAGAGGGUAGUC
This 255-nucleotide ribosomal RNA is filed under the name uncultured bacterium. Its description in RNAcentral is "partial 16S ribosomal RNA". It matches the Rfam family "Bacterial small subunit ribosomal RNA", at positions 57 to 305 of the family's 1533-position model. The record is from RNAcentral.